Molecule: ribosomal RNA, 497 nt
Filed under: uncultured bacterium
Lineage: Bacteria
Description: partial 16S ribosomal RNA
Rfam family: Bacterial small subunit ribosomal RNA
Source: RNAcentral
GAUGAACGCUGGCGGCGUGCCUAAUACAUGCAAGUCGAGCGAACAGACGAGGAGCUUGCUCCUCUGACGUUAGCGGCGGACGGGUGAGUAACACGUGGAUAACCUACCUAUAAGACUUGGAUAACUUCGGGAAACCGGAGCUAAUACCGGAGAAUAUAUUGAACCGCAUGGUUCAAUAGUGAAAGACGGUUUUGCUGUCACUUAUAGAUGGAUCCGCGCCGCAUUAGCUAGUUGGUAAGGUAACGGCUUACCAAGGCAACGAUGCGUAGCCGACCUGAGAGGGUGAUCGGCCACACUGGAACUGAGACACGGUCCAGACUCCUACGGGAGGCAGCAGUAGGGAAUCUUCCGCAAUGGGCGAAAGCCUGACGGAGCAACGCCGCGUGAGUGAUGAAGGUCUUCGGAUCGUAAAACUCUGUUAUUAGGGAAGAACAAAUGUGUAAGUAACUAUGCACGUCUUGACGGUACCUAAUCAGAAAGCCACGGCUAACUACGUG